This 392-nucleotide ribosomal RNA is filed under the name uncultured bacterium. RNAcentral describes it as "partial 16S ribosomal RNA". It matches the Rfam family "Bacterial small subunit ribosomal RNA", at positions 523 to 918 of the family's 1533-position model. The record is from RNAcentral.
AUACGGAGGAUCCGAGCGUUAUCCGGAAUUAUUGGGUUUAAAGGGUGCGCAGGCGGCCAUUUAAGUCAGCGGUUAAAUCGUGGGGCUCAACCCCAUUCUGCCGUUGAUACUGGGUGGCUUGAUUGCGGUCCCGGUUGGCGGAAUUCGUUGUGUAGCGGGGCAAUGCGUAGAUAUGUCGAAGAACACCGAUUGCGUAGGCAGCUGACCAGACCGCAAAUGACGCUCAUGCGCGAAAGUGCGGGGAUCGAACAGGAUUAGAUGCCCUGGUAGUCCGCACAGUAAACGAUGAAUACUUGUUUUCGGCGAUAUAAUGUCGGAGGCAAAGCGAAAGCGAUAAGUAUUCCACCUGGGGAGUACGCCGGCAACGGUGAAACUCAAAGGAAUUGACGGGG